AAAGUUAGAGGUUCGAAGGCGAUCAGAUACCGCCCUAGUUCUAACCAUAAACGAUGCCAGCCAGCGAUCCGGCUGUGUUCCUCAAAUGACACGCCGGGCAGCUUCCGGGAAACCAAAGCUUUUGGGUUCCGGGGGAAGUAUGGUUGCAAAGCUGAAACUUAAAGGAAUUGACGGAAGGGCACCACCAGGAUUGGAGCUUGCGGUUUAAUUUGACUCAACACGGGACAACCUACCCGGCCCGGACACAGGAAGGAUUGACAGAUUAAGAGCUCUUUCUUGAUUCUGUGGGUGGUGGUGCAUGGCCGUUCUUAGUUGGUGGACUGAUUUGUCUGGUUAAUUCCGUUAACGAACGAGACUCUAGCCUACUAAAUAGGCGUUCCGAUUAUUUAUUUUUCGGACGAUCUUCUUAGAGGGACAAUCGGCGCUUAGCCCGAUGAGACAGAGCAAUAACAGGUCUGUGAUGCCCUUUGAUGUCCGGGGCCACACGCGUGCUACAUUGAAGGAAACAGCGUGUGCUUUCCCUGUCCGACAGGACUGGGUAACCCGGUGAACCUCCUUCGUGCUGGGGAUAGGGGCUUGUAAUUGUUCCCCUUGAACGAGGAAUUCCUAGUAAGCACGAAUCAUCAGUUCGUGUGACUUAAGUCCCUGCCCUUUGUCCACACCGCCCGUCGCUUCUACCGAUUGAAUGAUUUAGUGAGGUCUUCGGACUGGCGCUCGGAGCGGCCUUGGGUCGCGCCGGCGUGCCGGAAAGAUGACCAAACUUGUCAUU
RNAcentral lists this ribosomal RNA (769 nucleotides) under Wadotes dixiensis. RNAcentral's name for it is "SSU rRNA". It matches the Rfam family "Eukaryotic small subunit ribosomal RNA", at positions 986 to 1773 of the family's 1831-position model. Lineage: Eukaryota; Metazoa; Arthropoda; Arachnida; Araneae; Agelenidae. The record is from RNAcentral.